GAUGAACGCUGGCGGCGUGCCUAAUACAUGCAAGUCGAGCGAACGGACGAGAAGCUUGCUUCUCUGAUGCUAGCGGCGGACGGGUGAGUAACACGUGGAUAACCUACCUAUAAGACUGGGAUAACUUCGGGAAACCGGAGCUAAUACCGGAUAAUAUUUUGAACCGCAUGGUUCAAAAGUAAAAGACGGUCUUGCUGUCACUUAUAGAUGGAUCCGCGCUGCAUUAGCUAGUUGGUAAGGUAACGGCUUACCAAGGCAACGAUGCAUAGCCGACCUGAGAGGGUGAUCGGCCACACUGGAACUGAGACACGGUCCAGACUCCUACGGGAGGCAGCAGUAGGGAAUCUUCCGCAAUGGGCGAAAGCCUGACGGAGCAACGCCGCGUGAGUGAUGAAGGUCUUCGGAUCGUAAAACUCUGUUAUUAGGGAAGAACAUAUGUGUAAGUAACUGUGCACAUCUUGACGGUACCUAAUCAGAAAGCCACGGCUAACUACGU
RNAcentral lists this ribosomal RNA (496 nucleotides) under uncultured bacterium. RNAcentral describes it as "partial 16S ribosomal RNA". It matches the Rfam family "Bacterial small subunit ribosomal RNA", at positions 28 to 506 of the family's 1533-position model. The record is from RNAcentral.